Molecule: long non-coding RNA, 1259 nt
Organism: Esox lucius (northern pike)
Lineage: Eukaryota; Metazoa; Chordata; Actinopteri; Esociformes; Esocidae
Source: Ensembl
CACACACGCACUACUAUCAUCUUAAUGUAUAUAGAAGCGUUUCACUUGUAUGUGUGAGAGCUUUUCAGUAGUGUAUAUAAGAGCGUUUUACUUGUAUGUAUGAGAGCUUUUCAGUAGUGUAUAUAAGAGCGUUUCACUUGUAUGUAUAAGAGCUUUUCAAUAGUGUAUAUAAGGGCGUUUCACUUGUAUGUGACUGUUUCAGUAGUGUAUAUAAAAGCUUUCACUUGUAUGUGUGAGAGCGUUUCAGUAGUGUGUGCGAGCGAAUAAUCUUCCAGUUGUUUAUGUGAGAGUGUUUCAGUAGUGUAUGUGUCACGGGUUGGAUAUUAAUUGUGCAUGUAUUUUGAUUAUGUUUGUGACUUGAUUUACUGUGAUUUUGGUUUGGAUAUUGUGUUUGGUUUAGUGUUGUGAUUGGUGUUUUGUUUGUAGUGCUUUUGUGUUAUUUUUCUAUUCGUUAAUUUGCUAACAACCCGUGAACUUCGACCUGUACAACGAGGCUAUUGAUUGGACUGUAGAAUAAGAACAGGAAAUAAAGACCGGACACCGAGAGGAAGGUGGACAGAGAAGAAGGCUACCGGAGGCAGCUCGAAGAGGUGGAAAAUCAAUACGUGAGACACAAGAGCUACGAGCCAGAGGAUCCCGUAUACCCAUAAGGCUAGACGUGCGCAUCCCGGGGAAUGGGCUACUACUGCCUGUGACCCGGGGAGAGUCCCUUUCCUGCCAGUAUACAGUUAGACGAAGGCCGAACUCCGGUGGAAAGAAGCUGAUUGCUCGGCUGGUCGCCGGUGUACGCUGCAUCUCAGGGACUGGGACAUUUGCAUGGAUAUGGUUUUUCAUAUAUUUUAUUGCUCGAUGUUUUAAGUAUUGUAAUGUAAUUUAUUGUUAAUGUAAAGACAUAUUGAAGUUGUGGUGCAAUAAAAUAUUGAUUAAAGUAUAGCUUCGCCUUUGGGAUACUUUAUACACUGCUCCUCCCUCCAAACGAACCUGAGCAUAGUUUGUAGUCUGAUGAGAAGUUAUUGUAACUUUUGGUUGAGUUCCUAGAGCUCUUGUUAGUUCUAGGUGGCGUUGUCGAUAGGAAAAAUAGAUCAGCCCGACCUGGUCACAUAUGUAAGAGCAUUUCACAUGUGUUUGUGUGAGGUAUUUCUGAAUAAUGUCCCUGACGGCCCCUCAUAUGAUAACGCGGCGCACACUCUCUCCGGCCAGGAGUUGCAUUUGGCAGUGUCACGCUGCUGUGGUGUACGGAGGGGAAAAGCGACGCUAUG